RNAcentral lists this ribosomal RNA (478 nucleotides) under uncultured bacterium. RNAcentral describes it as "partial 16S ribosomal RNA". It matches the Rfam family "Bacterial small subunit ribosomal RNA", at positions 28 to 507 of the family's 1533-position model. The record is from RNAcentral.
GAUGAACGCUGGCGGCGUGCUUAACACAUGCAAGUCGAACGAGAAGUGAAGACGGAAACCUUCGGGCGGAAGGCUUUAUUUCGAGUGGCGGACGGGUGAGUAACGCGUGGGUAACCUGCCUCAUGCAGGGGGAUAACAGUUGGAAACGACUGUUAAUACCGCAUAAGACCACAGCACCGCAUGGUGCGGGGGUAAAAACUCCGGUGGUAUGAGAUGGACCCGCGUUCGAUUAGCCAGUUGGCGGGGUAACGGCCCACCAAAGCGACGAUCGAUAGCCGAUCUGAGAGGAUGACCGGCCACAUUGGGACUGAGACACGGCCCAAACUCCUACGGGAGGCAGCAGUGGGGAAUAUUGCACAAUGGGGGAAACCCUGAUGCAGCGACGCCGCGUGAGUGAAGAAGUAUUUCGGUAUGUAAAGCUCUAUCAGCAGGGAAGAAAAUGACGGUACCUGAGUAAGAAGCCCCGGCUAACUACGUG